UAACUCCCGCAUCCUCCUUGUGCCUGCAAUUUUGCUGCCCCCAGCCGUGUGAAUGGCACUGCCAAAUGCGGGAUUCUUUUCCAUUGCAUUUCAUCUCAUCCAGCCAGAUGGGCCCUGUUCCUUCCCCAAAAUGAGCAGAACCAGUGGCAUUAAUGGCCUCUCCACAGCCCAGCUGUCUGCAAACCACGUGGGCAUCACUCAGGUCCCAGCUGUCAUCACAGAUGGUGCCCCAGGAGCCCUCAUGAUAGAUCUCUACUCUCCCAGCACAGCGACCUCCUCCAUUUACCAGGCGAAGUUGACCACUCUCUGCAAAGAGAAAUGAAAUGCCCGUCAUCCUCUUACCUGAGCAGAUUACAGAGGCCACUAAUCUCCCAUGUGCUGCUCAGUCCCAGUGCAGUGAAACAUAUGCCUCCAGAUCUGACCAUUUCCUUUUCCAAAACGUGCUCCUCCUGGG
Molecule: long non-coding RNA, 454 nt
Filed under: Homo sapiens (human)
Lineage: Eukaryota; Metazoa; Chordata; Mammalia; Primates; Hominidae
Description: HSALNT0185095
Source: RNAcentral